Molecule: ribosomal RNA, 460 nt
Filed under: uncultured bacterium
Lineage: Bacteria
Description: partial 16S ribosomal RNA
Rfam family: Bacterial small subunit ribosomal RNA
Source: RNAcentral
CCUACGGGUGGCAGCAGUGAGGAAUAUUGGUCAAUGGACGAGAGUCUGAACCAGCCAAGCAGCGUGAAGGAUGACUGUCCUAUGGGUUGUACACUUCUUUUAUAUGGGAAUAAAACAUGGUAUGCCUACCCUCUUGUGUGUACCAUAUGAAUAAGGAUCGGCUCACUCCGUGCCAGCAGCCGCGGUCAUACGGGGGAUCCGCGCGUUCUCCGGAUUUCUUGGGUUUAGAGGGAGCGUAGGCGGGUUGGUAAGUCAGUUGUGAAAGUUUGCGGCUCAACCGGCAGGUUGCAGGUGAAACUGGCAGUCUUGAGUACGGUAGAGGUUGGCGGAAUUCGUGGUGGAGCGGUGAAAUGCUUAGAUAUCACGAAGAACUCCGAUUGCGAAGGCAGCUCACUGGACUGAAACUGACACUGAUGCACGAAAGUGUGGGUAUCAAACAGGAUUAGAUACCCCAGUAGUC